Molecule: ribosomal RNA, 565 nt
Filed under: Salmonella enterica
Lineage: Bacteria; Pseudomonadati; Pseudomonadota; Gammaproteobacteria; Enterobacterales; Enterobacteriaceae
Also listed under: 1 other name
Description: partial 23S ribosomal RNA
Rfam family: Bacterial large subunit ribosomal RNA
Source: RNAcentral
CAAUCAAACCGGGAGAUAGCUGGUUCUCCCCGAAAGCUAUUUAGGUAGCGCCUCGUGAAUUCAUCUCCGGGGGUAGAGCACUGUUUCGGCUAGGGGGCCAUCCCGGCUUACCAACCCGAUGCAAACUGCGAAUACCGGAGAAUGUUAUCACGGGAGACACACGGCGGGUGCUAACGUCCGUCGUGAAGAGGGAAACAACCCAGACCGCCAGCUAAGGUCCCAAAGUCAUGGUUAAGUGGGAAACGAUGUGGGAAGGCCCAGACAGCCAGGAUGUUGGCUUAGAAGCAGCCAUCAUUUAAAGAAAGCGUAAUAGCUCACUGGUCGAGUCGGCCUGCGCGGAAGAUGUAACGGGGCUAAACCAUGCACCGAAGCUGCGGCAGCGAACGUAUCACCCAAGACAACUUUACGGAGUUGACGAUUGACGGAGCGAAGCGACGUCAAAGCGUUCAUUAAAGUCGAGUUGGCUUAGGGAUACGUUCGUUGGGUAGGGGAGCGUUCUGUAAGCCUGUGAAGGUGUGUCGUGAGGCAUGCUGGAGGUAUCAGAAGUGCGAAUGCUGACAUAAGU